RNAcentral lists this ribosomal RNA (504 nucleotides) under uncultured bacterium. RNAcentral's name for it is "bacterial LSU rRNA". It matches the Rfam family "Bacterial large subunit ribosomal RNA", at positions 817 to 1323 of the family's 2925-position model. The record is from RNAcentral.
AGGGGUGAAAGGCUAAUCAAACUGGGAGAUAGCUCGUACUCCCCGAAAUGUUUUUAGGAACAGCCUCGUACUUAUUGUCAUAGAGGUAGAGCUACCGAUUGGACUAGGGGGCUUCACCGCCUACCAAAUCCUGACGAACUCCGAAUGCUAUGACAUCUAUACGGGAGUGAGGCGUGGGGUGCUAAGGUCACACGCCGAGAGGGAAAUAACCCAGACCAUCAGCUAAGUCCCUAAAAUAUGCUAAGUUGAACAAACGCAGUUUGACCGCUAUAACAGCCAGGAUGUUUGCUUGGAAGCAGCAAUUCAUUUAAAGAGUGCGUAACAGCUCACUGGUCGAGUGGUCGGGCACGGAAAAUAAUCGGGCAUAAAGCAUAUUACCGAAGCUAUGGGUUUGUCGCAAGACAAGCGGUAGGGGAGCAUUGUAGUUGCACCGAAGGUGUGUCGUAAGGCAUGCUGGAGCGGCUACAAAAGCAAAUGUAGGCAUAAGUAACGAUAAAGCAUAUG